GGAGGUUUUCAGGUGACACACCCCAGAAUGGGGCUCCCUACUCUCUGGUUCCAGGUGCAUCACCCAAGAACAGCC
Non-coding RNA from Myotis lucifugus (little brown bat), 75 nucleotides. NCBI's taxonomy places the organism in Eukaryota, Metazoa, Chordata, Mammalia, Chiroptera, Vespertilionidae. The record is from Rfam.